GCGCAGCGCGGCGCAGAGCUCGGGGGUGAGGCUCGUCGUCGCGGUGGCGCCGUCGGGGACGUGCCCGGUGGCCUCCCUCGGUGAGCGCGGCGCAGAGGUCGGGGGUGAGCGGGACCGCCGGUGCCGGGGUGAGCGGGGGCGCGGCGUCGGGGUCGGGCUUGGGGAGGAGCAGUGGAGCGGGCGCCAUCGCCGAUCAAUCUCCGGUCGGAGGGGAGAGGGUUUUCUUGGCUCGCCGCUGGGAGGGAUUGAGUGGGGGUAUGGGAAUGGAAUGGAAACUGGGAAAGCGCUGCUGCUUUUUACGCGGGCGACUGUCGG
Molecule: long non-coding RNA, 315 nt
Filed under: Hordeum vulgare
Lineage: Eukaryota; Viridiplantae; Streptophyta; Magnoliopsida; Poales; Poaceae
Description: long non-coding RNA (HVUL_LNC008003)
Source: RNAcentral